GUGGGUGUAGCUCAUUUGGUUAGAGCGCGUCCCUGUGGAGGAUGAGGCAGGCGGUUCAAAUCCGCUCACCCACCCA
RNAcentral lists this transfer RNA (76 nucleotides) under Candidatus Collierbacteria bacterium RIFOXYA1_FULL_46_24. RNAcentral's name for it is "tRNA-His". It matches the Rfam family "tRNA". Rfam says of the family: Transfer RNA (tRNA) molecules are approximately 80 nucleotides in length. Their secondary structure includes four short double-helical elements and three loops (D, anti-codon, and T loops). Further hydrogen bonds mediate the characteristic L-shaped molecular structure. tRNAs have two regions of fundamental functional importance: the anti-codon, which is responsible for specific mRNA codon recognition, and the 3' end, to which the tRNAs corresponding amino acid is attached (by aminoacyl-tRNA synthetases). tRNAs cope with the degeneracy of the genetic code in two manners: having more than one tRNA (with a specific anti-codon) for a particular amino acid; and 'wobble' base-pairing, i.e. permitting non-standard base-pairing at the 3rd anti-codon position. Lineage: Bacteria; Candidatus Collieribacteriota. The record is from RNAcentral. RNAcentral also lists the same sequence under 3 other names.